AGGGCAAUCUGGGAAAGUGGCCAAGCACGGUAUUAGGGAGCGAUGCACCCAGCCACAGCCUGCUGGAGGCAGCAGACCUCACCUUCCCCGGGCACUGGAUCAGGCUGUGCUGCUAUUCAAAAUGCUGCUGAGGAGCCAUGUAUUUAUUUUUUACAGUUUGCAGUGCCAAGGAAAUAUCGCUUGUGACAGUGGAAACAAAUCAAGCCUGAAGUGGUUAUUCAGCAUGGAGAAUCAGAGCUGGUUCCUCUAACACUGAAAAAUGUGGAAUUUAUUUCAGUGCUUAAUUGAUGAUUUCAAU
Molecule: long non-coding RNA, 298 nt
Filed under: Anas platyrhynchos platyrhynchos (common mallard)
Lineage: Eukaryota; Metazoa; Chordata; Aves; Anseriformes; Anatidae
Description: lncRNA (ENSAPLG00000022740.1)
Source: RNAcentral